GUUUCUGUAGUGUAGUGGUCAUCACGUGCGCUUCACUCGCGCAAGGUUCCCAGUUUGAUCCUGGGCGGAAACG
RNAcentral lists this transfer RNA (73 nucleotides) under Paramuricea clavata. Its description in RNAcentral is "tRNA-Val". It matches the Rfam family "tRNA". Rfam says of the family: Transfer RNA (tRNA) molecules are approximately 80 nucleotides in length. Their secondary structure includes four short double-helical elements and three loops (D, anti-codon, and T loops). The record is from RNAcentral. Lineage: Eukaryota; Metazoa; Cnidaria; Anthozoa; Malacalcyonacea; Plexauridae.